This 562-nucleotide ribosomal RNA is filed under the name uncultured fungus. RNAcentral describes it as "eukaryotic LSU rRNA". It matches the Rfam family "Eukaryotic large subunit ribosomal RNA", at positions 62 to 648 of the family's 3401-position model. The record is from RNAcentral. Lineage: Eukaryota; Fungi.
AAACCAACAGGGAUUGCCCUAGUAACGGCGAGUGAAGCGGCAACAGCUCAAAUUUGAAAUCUGGCGUAAGCCCGAGUUGUAAUUUGUAGAGGAUGCUUCUGGGUAGCGACCGAUCUAAGUUCCUUGGAACAGGACGUCAUAGAGGGUGAGAAUCCCGUAUGUGACCGGCCCGCACCCUUUACGUAGCUCCUUCGACGAGUCGAGUUGUUUGGGAAUGCAGCUCUAAAUGGGAGGUAAAUUUCUUCUAAAGCUAAAUACCGGCCAGAGACCGAUAGCGCACAAGUAGAGUGAUCGAAAGAUGAAAAGUACUUUGGAAAGAGAGUUAAAAAGCACGUGAAAUUGUUGAAAGGGAAGCGCCUGCAACCAGACUUCGUGGCAGUGUUCCGCCGGUCUUCUGACCGGUUUAUUCUCUGUCGCGAGGCCAUCAUCGUCUCGGCCCGCCGGAUAAGACCUUGGGAAUGUAGCUCACCUUCGGGGGAGUGUUAUAGCCUAUGGUGAUGCGGCGAGGCUGGGGCGAGGUCCGCGCUUCGGCAAGGAUGAUGGCGUAAUGGUUGUCGGCGGC